AGUGAACGCUGGCGGUAGGCCUAACACAUGCAAGUCGAACGGCAGCACAGUAAGAGCUUGCUCUUACGGGUGGCGAGUGGCGGACGGGUGAGGAAUACAUCGGAAUCUACUUUUUCGUGGGGGAUAACGUAGGGAAACUUACGCUAAUACCGCAUACGACCUACGGGUGAAAGCAGGGGAUCUUCGGACCUUGCGCGAUUGAAUGAGCCGAUGUCGGAUUAGCUAGUUGGCGGGGUAAAGGCCCACCAAGGCGACGAUCCGUAGCUGGUCUGAGAGGAUGAGAGGCACGACGGGAACAGAGACGCGGUACAGCGGCCUACGGGAGGCAGCAGGAGGGAAGGUUAGGGAAUGGGCGAGAGCCUGACGGCGCAAGGCGGGGUGAGGGAUGAAGGUCGUCGGAUCGUAAAACUCUGUUACUAGGGAAGAACAAAAGUGUAAGUAACUAUGCACGUCUUGACGGUACCUAAUCAGAAAGCCACGGCUAACUACGUG
This 492-nucleotide ribosomal RNA is filed under the name uncultured bacterium. RNAcentral describes it as "partial 16S ribosomal RNA". It matches the Rfam family "Bacterial small subunit ribosomal RNA", at positions 30 to 507 of the family's 1533-position model. The record is from RNAcentral.